ACUCCUACGGGAGGCAGCAGUGGGGAAUUUUGGACAAUGGGCGAAAGCCUGAUCCAGCAAUGCCGCGUGUGUGAAGAAGGCCUUCGGGUUGUAAAGCACUUUUGUCCGGAAAGAAAUCCUUGGCUCUAAUACAGUCGAGGGAUGACGGUACCGGAAGAAUAAGCACCGGCUAACUACGUGCCAGCAGCCGCGGUAAUACGUAGGGUGCGAGCGUUAAUCGGAAUUACUGGGCGUAAAGCGUGCGCAGGCGGUUUGCUAAGACCGAUGUGAAAUCCCCGGGCUCAACCUGGGAACUGCAUUGGUGACUGGCAGGCUAGAGUAUGGCAGAGGGGGGUAGAAUUCCACGUGUAGCAGUGAAAUGCGUAGAGAUGUGGAGGAAGACCGAUGGCGAAGGCAGCCCCCUGGGCCAAUACUGACGCUCAUGCACGAAAGCGUGGGGAGCAAACAGGAUUAGAAACCCCUGUAGUCCCAUG
RNAcentral lists this ribosomal RNA (473 nucleotides) under uncultured organism. Its description in RNAcentral is "partial 16S ribosomal RNA". It matches the Rfam family "Bacterial small subunit ribosomal RNA", at positions 335 to 799 of the family's 1533-position model. The record is from RNAcentral.